GCGCACUGUGCAGCUGCAGCAUAUGUGUGUUGUGUUGAUACGGGGAUGUCAUGACUUAGAAAACAGGUUUUCCUGUUCCUGCGCAGUGAAUAAGCUUAUUCACCGGAUGUCAUUCCAGUUCUCGCAAAAAACAAGGGCUUUGUAGCAGAAUUUAACAAAAAAAAUGCAUGAUACCUCGAUGGACCCCAGCUCUUUCACUGACAGUCUUCAGGUUUUGAAACUCUCAGAAGGCAAGCACAGAUUCGUUAACAAGAACUACAAGAAAGUGUCUGCAAGAAUGUAUGACUACAACUGUGAUGUUAAACUAACAGUUGGAGAUAAAACCUUCAGUGCACAUCGUGACAUAUUAUCUGAAGCCAGUGAUUAUUUUUCUGCCAUGUUCAGUCAUGACAUGCAGGAGAAGCAAAUGAAAGACAUUGAACUGUUCGAGAUCAGUCCUAUAGGCUUUGCAGCCAUGCUGGAAUACUUUUACCAUGGCCAUGUGUCUCUAGACGCUGAAAAGAUUCAGGAUGUCAUUGAAGCUUCUCAGUUCUUUCAGGUUGGAUGGUUGUCAGAACUGUGCUGCUACUACCUGAUCUAUCAUCUCAGUAUAGAAAACUAUGGUUUAGUGUUGGACUUGAUGGACAGGUAUGCUCUGGACGACCUGAACCCUGAUAUAUUCGAGUAUAUAGGACAGAGUUUCAUUCCUUUAUCUGAAGAACCAAAUUUCAAAUUGAUCCAGUAUGAACUGCUUUACAAAAUACUAGCCAGUGAUCACUUCAUUGCCGCGCCUGAGGGGUAUAUCCUCAAGACGGUCUUGGAUUGGUUAGACCAUAACUCGGAUCGGUUGAAACACCUGGAGGAAAUUGUAGGCUUGAUUCGAUUUCCUUGUUUGAAUUCCCAGCAACUUGAGGAAAUCCGUGAAGAUUUGCUUGCAUACCCUGGGAUUGAGGCCUUGGUUACAGAGGCAAAGGAAUACCAGGCCAACCCAUACAGUCAGUGUCUCGUGGCAUCAGAACGGACCCGCGUCCGCGGGGCGCAGCCACUGGUCUCCAUGAUCUCAGCUGUUGAUGAUGCAGAGAGUAUACAGUUCAAAGUACCAGGUAUACCUGGUAUGUGUGAGCAGCCAUUAUCCACUAGCAGCCUCAGUUUGGUUCUGGAAUAUGCCAGUGUGACAUUUAUGGGAGACUUUGCAUUUGCCGCUGGUGGUUAUGGUCGAAGCUACUGCAGCACCAAUGUGAUGUAUCGCCUGGACCCUAGGUGGCAGGUGUGGAUUGAGUGCGCUCCAAUGCAAGAUAACCGUGUGAACUUUGCGCUGGUCAAUGAUGGCCGGUAUUUGUAUGCUAUAGGUGGUGUGGACCACACAGAACAGGACCAGGAGUUGUUACUAGACACUGUGGAAAGGUACGACCCUGAAGAGAACCAAUGGAUCAGCCUGCCAAAGCUACCUGUUCCUUGUUUUGAUAUUGCAGCUGCUGUGAAGGAUGGUUGCAUUUUUGUCAGCGGCGGCAUCUCUGACAAUCCCCUGGACUCCGUGCCAGUCAGUCACAUGUCUGUGUUUUAUCCAACCAAUAUAAGCUGGGAGAGUAAAGCCCCAAUGUUACACACUCGUCAGGGCCACAGCAUGUCUCUGUAUAACAAUAAACUGUAUGUAUUCGGAGGGUACAGUAGCGAGGAUGGCUGGAACAUGCGCGACUGCUUUAUUAAUGAAGUUUAUGAUAUUAUGACAGACCAAUGGACAGAGUUAACGCCCACUCCCGAAGAAUUUGGACAUUUCCAACGGUCAGUGACUGUGUUUGGUCAUAAACUGUAUAUUAUUGGAGGGACCUCUUCUGAAAGGUAUUUGUUCAAGUAUGACUUUGAGACUAACCAGUUUGAGGAGAAGGAGUACUGUGGCCCACAUUAUUUGAAGAUUGGAGUGCUGCCUGUGGCUGGGUUUCCUAAACUAGAGGAUGAAGGGUGAAGUAAAUGAGACAGAAUAACACUGUGCCCCUGAUUCUUGGUUUCUGACACAAAACUGGAUUUUGGUGCAAAAAAGGGGUCCCAACCGUAUUCAUAUCCUAUUGAAAUUGCAAGAAAUUUGCAUUGAAAAUCACAAGCCACAUAGAAUAAGGACAUUGUGUGACGAAUGAUGAAGAAUAAAAAGCUGCCUUCACAUAUGAUAGAUUUGGGUUCUUUAUGGAGCAAGCUAAAUAAUAUGAAUUUUAAUAAUAAUAUUUCAGGAAUCUCGAAAGGGGAGGGGUAAUAAUAAAUGGUUUCCAUGGUACGUAACAACAAUUCCCAAUGGGACCCUCCUUUUACAAGCUGGGUUAUAGGGAGAUCUGGUCAGCAAAAUGUGGGACUGUAAAUAGAAAUAAAAAGAAUCAGCAGAGCACUCUAAUUCCCAAACCACUCUAUACUGAAUCUUAAUAAGUAUUUAUUAAGCAUGCACUGUGACAAUUUGGUCUGCUUAACAUUUUUGCAAUUUUCUUUUCCAGAAAGAUCUACAUUGUUUUGUCCAUGUAUUUGGUUUCAGUACAUUUUUGUAUACUAUAUGAAUAAA
RNAcentral lists this unclassified non-coding RNA (2521 nucleotides) under Lingula anatina. RNAcentral describes it as "kelch-like protein 32, transcript variant X2". The record is from RNAcentral. Lineage: Eukaryota; Metazoa; Brachiopoda; Lingulata; Lingulida; Lingulidae.